This 340-nucleotide ribosomal RNA is filed under the name Aplanochytrium stocchinoi. RNAcentral describes it as "partial Eukaryotic large subunit ribosomal RNA". It matches the Rfam family "Eukaryotic large subunit ribosomal RNA", at positions 637 to 966 of the family's 3401-position model. The record is from RNAcentral. Lineage: Eukaryota; Bigyra; Thraustochytrida; Thraustochytriidae.
GUCGUAAACCGCCCGUCUUGAAACACGGACCAAGGAGUCUCAGAACAGUGCGAGUGUUGUGGUGAUGCAAAGCCAAGGCGCGCAGUGAAGGCAAGAUGUUACAAGGUCCGCAGUCUUAGCAGAUGGAAGGAUCGGCCCGUUGGUGCUCCUCGGAGCAGCGAUCGGAGUUGUAGCAGUGUUCUGGGGACCCGAAAGAUGGUGAUCUAUGCUUGUGUAGAAAGAAGUCAGGGGAAACUCUGAUGGAAGUUCGCAAACGGUUCUGACGUGCAAAUCGAUCGUGAGACAUGGGUAUAGGGGCGAAAGACUCAUCGAACCAUCUAGUAGCUGGUUCCCUCCGAAG